Molecule: long non-coding RNA, 761 nt
Filed under: Fukomys damarensis (Damara mole-rat)
Lineage: Eukaryota; Metazoa; Chordata; Mammalia; Rodentia; Bathyergidae
Description: lncRNA (ENSFDAG00000031293.1)
Source: RNAcentral
AUGCAAACUUGGCCUGGGGGGGCAAGAAUGAGUGAAGCAGUAGGCAAACUGAAGGCGGCCUCUGCUCCGUGUUGCUGCGGCCCUUGGGUGCUCUUACCUCACCCCCUUGCUAGAACCUCCCUGCUCAGCUGGCACGUGGAAGCGGGAGCCCAGAUCCAGCAGGCGAGACCUUGUGACUUCAGAGGCAGCUCAAAAGACCAAACACUGAGGGCAGUUGGAAAUUUUGUUGCUUACUGUGGUACAGCAAGCCUUCCCCUUAGUUCACAAGUGAGUCUUCUGAGAACUGCUCACAAAGAAGUGAACACUGACGCAAGACAGACGGAAAGAAGCAGCGCGCCCCUGGGAAAGGAGGACUUUGAGUAUAACAGUCUGACUUUAUCAUCACCUGUAGCACAAGCAGUACUGAUGAAUGAGCAAAAGGAAGAAGCAAUAAGAGAAAAACAAAAUGCCUUGAUCCAUAAACCAGAUGCACUAUUCCAAAAUGGGAACUGAAACUCAGCUCUGAGGGAAGUGAGCAGAGCAGUGAGAUGAAAACUACCCUCUCUGCAGGUCCGCACAGCAGUGGUAUCUUCUGUCUCUUUCCCCAGUGACUCCAGGUAUGAACAAAAACAUUGAGCUUAAAAUCUGAUUAAUGCUGCAGUGGUUCCUCCCACCUUGUAAGGUGGGAAAAAAAUCACCUAAACUAUUAUUUCCAUUAUUUAAAAAGCUUUCUAUCUAUCUAGCCAUCUAGCUAGCUAGCUAGCUAACUAGCUAGAUAGCUA